Molecule: ribosomal RNA, 497 nt
Filed under: uncultured bacterium
Lineage: Bacteria
Description: partial 16S ribosomal RNA
Rfam family: Bacterial small subunit ribosomal RNA
Source: RNAcentral
GAUGAACGCUGGCGGCGUGCCUAAUACAUGCAAGUCGAGCGAACAGAUGAGGAGCUUGCUCCUCUGACGUUAGCGGCGGACGGGUGAGUAACACGUGGAUAACCUACCUAUAAGACUGGGAUAACUUCGGGAAACCGGAGCUAAUACCGGAUAAUAUAUUGAACCGCAUGGUUCACUAGUGAAAGACGGUUUUGCUGUCACUUAUAGAUGUAUCCGCGCCGCAUUAGCUAGUUGGUAAGGUAACGGCUUACCAAGGCAACGAUGCGUAGCCGACCUGAGAGGGUGAUCGGCCACACUGGAACUGAGACACGGUCCAGAUUCCUACGGGAGGCAGCAGUAGGGAAUCUUCCGCAAUGGGCGAAAGCCUGACGGAGCAACGCCGCGUGAGUGAUGAAGGUCUUCGGAUCGUAAAACUCUGUUAUUAGGGAAGAACAAAUGUGUAAGUAACUAUGCACGUCUUGACGGUACCUAAUCAGAAAGCCACGGCUAACUACGUG